This 1343-nucleotide ribosomal RNA is filed under the name uncultured bacterium. Its description in RNAcentral is "16S ribosomal RNA". It matches the Rfam family "Bacterial small subunit ribosomal RNA", at positions 28 to 1378 of the family's 1533-position model. The record is from RNAcentral.
GACGAACGCUGGCGGCGUGCUUAACACAUGCAAGUCGAACGGAAAGGCCCUGCUUUUGUGGGGUGCUCGAGUGGCGAACGGGUGAGUAACACGUGAGUAACCUGCCCUUGACUUUGGGAUAACUUCAGGAAACUGGGGCUAAUACCGGAUAGGAGCUCCUGCUGCAUGGUGGGGGUUGGAAAGUUUCGGCGGUUGGGGAUGGACUCGCGGCUUAUCAGCUUGUUGGUGGGGUAGUGGCUUACCAAGGCUUUGACGGGUAGCCGGCCUGAGAGGGUGACCGGCCACAUUGGGACUGAGAUACGGCCCAGACUCCUACGGGAGGCAGCAGUGGGGAAUAUUGCACAAUGGGCGGAAGCCUGAUGCAGCAACGCCGCGUGCGGGAUGACGGCCUUCGGGUUGUAAACCGCUUUCGCCUGUGACGAAGCGUGAGUGACGGUAAUGGGUAAAGAAGCACCGGCUAACUACGUGCCAGCAGCCGCGGUGAUACGUAGGGUGCGAGCGUUGUCCGGAUUUAUUGGGCGUAAAGGGCUCGUAGGUGGUUGAUCGCGUCGGAAGUGUAAUCUUGGGGCUUAACCCUGAGCGUGCUUUCGAUACGGGUUGACUUGAGGAAGGUAGGGGAGAAUGGAAUUCCUGGUGGAGCGGUGGAAUGCGCAGAUAUCAGGAGGAACACCAGUGGCGAAGGCGGUUCUCUGGGCCUUUCCUGACGCUGAGGAGCGAAAGCGUGGGGAGCGAACAGGCUUAGAUACCCUGGUAGUCCACGCUGUAAACGGUGGGUACUAGGUGUGGGGUCCAUUCCACGGGUUCCGUGCCGUAGCUAACGCUUUAAGUACCCCGCCUGGGGAGUACGGCCGCAAGGCUAAAACUCAAAGGAAUUGACGGGGCCCCGCACAAGCGGCGGAGCAUGCGGAUUAAUUCGAUGCAACGCGUAGAACCUUACCUGGGUUUGACAUGGAUCGGGAGUGCUCAGAGAUGGGUGUGCCUCUUUUGGGGUCGGUUCACAGGUGGUGCAUGGCUGUCGUCAGCUCGUGUCGUGAGAUGUUGGGUUAAGUCCCGCAACGAGCGCAACCCUUGUUCACUGUUGCCAGCACGUUAUGGUGGGGACUCAGUGGAGACCGCCGGGGUCAACUCGGAGGAGGGUGGGGAUGACGUCAAGUCAUCAUGCCCCUUAUGUCCAGGGCUUCACGCAUGCUACAAUGGCUGGUACAGAGAGUGGCGAGCCUGUGAGGGUGAGCGAAUCUCGGAAAGCCGGUCUCAGUUCGGAUUGGGGUCUGCAACUCGACCUCACGAAGUCGGAGUCGCUAGUAAUCGCAGAUCAGCAACGCUGCGGUGAAUACGUUCCCGGG